Molecule: long non-coding RNA, 719 nt
Organism: Crotalus tigris (Tiger rattlesnake)
Lineage: Eukaryota; Metazoa; Chordata; Lepidosauria; Squamata; Viperidae
Exons: 2
Source: RefSeq, a predicted model, not a curated record
AUCAGAUUCCUCCAGCACCGAGAGAACUCAGUCUUGUUUCCAUCGCAUCACCUGAUCCACCCACUCCUUUGGACCAAGAUGGCCUCCAGAUGGGACCUAUGCUCUUUCAACUGCCCUCCCACCACCGUGACCAUCCAGCCACCCCCCUUCUGCCUCAGUAUCCCAGGACCUUCUCUUCACUGUCCAGACCAGCCUCUUUGCAUUGAGCAGUGCAACCCUUGUGUUCCUCUUCCCUUUCGUGGGCCUUUAUCCCUCCCCUCAAGUGGGAGCAGUGCAGCCAGCAUUUAUUCUCAGAAGUCCCAGCAACAGCAACAGCAGCAGCAACAUCACCAACGAUUCUAAGCGUUGAUGUUCUACACCCCAGGAACAAGACAAAGGAUGGACCAGCUUAAGAGAAAAAACAGAUCACCAAGAACCAACGAAGAACAUCUUGAUGGCUGAAAGAUUUCACAAGAAGAUCAGAACCUCCACAUGCUGUCCUUAGAAAUUGCUCUUCCCCAUGGCAUUUUCUGAAGGACUUCAAGUUGGGGAACGCCAUUCCUUUAGAUCUGGGAUGCAUCUGCAUUUGGGCUCUCCAAAGAUUCUUCACUCACCCUGGAGGGAAUUGGGUUUCAUGCUUGCGUGGUUUUGAUGGGACUGCUUUCUUUGCUGUAAAACUGACGUCUGGAAUAUUAGCUCUGCUUUCCCCCCCACCCAAUAAAAUCUUUAUUGCAUUCAAA